Molecule: long non-coding RNA, 1157 nt
Organism: Panicum hallii
Lineage: Eukaryota; Viridiplantae; Streptophyta; Magnoliopsida; Poales; Poaceae
Exons: 3
Source: RefSeq, a predicted model, not a curated record
CAGUGUUAUGUAAGGGACAAAAAUUUUUAUAGGGUCAAGAAAGGAAUUUAGUGAUCUUCUAGUGUCGGGGCUGGCCGCCGGGAGCAGUGCCGCUCCAAAAAGGCAUCGCCCCACCCGCAAGUAUGCGGUGUCGAAGGUGCCCAAGGGGGCGUUCGGCCCGCGAGGCGGGCGUGCCUCCCCGUCGGAGAAGGAAGCCGUGGAGGACGCGGCGGUGGCCAGCUGCACGGCCGCUGCCGCAAAGGAGGAGCGGGAGGAGGAGGCAUCCCGGGGGCUGUCUCGUAUGCAGAGAGACGAGUCGUCCCUGUGUCUGGGGCGGUCAUUGCCUUCCGCGGCACCGAUGAAGCUGAACUUCAGCACGCGGCGCAGUGAAACGUGAGAGGGCGUCGCUCAGCGGCGCCAAAAGGAAGGUGGAGGAGCUCACCGAGGAGGCCAAGCCAGUUGAGGUGGUGAGGACGCCGGCUCCGGAGGAGGAGCCGCCGGCAUCCCGCGUUCGGCUGCACGCACAGGCGUGGCGCAGGCAGAGGAGGAGAAGAGCGGGGUGGAGCUGGCACCACCCCAUGAUGCUGGUACCGGGUCGGCGGUUCCGGCAUAGGAGGUUGCGGGCAGGGCGACUGUUGAGCCGAGUCGCCUGCGUGCCAUCAACCCCACACCAGCUCAAAUGCUGCUGGCCCAACGGAUUGGGACCCGGCGCCCGACGAGGGAGCGGAGCAACAGAUGGCCCGGGUCACUGGGGAGGACCUGAUGGCGGCCGCACAACGGGCCAUUGAGUCGACUUUGGCGUUGGCCAACCCGAGUCGCUGAGCGGCAGGUCAGCUACAGGGCAUGGACGGCCCGGCUGGCCGGCUGCGCGACCUGGAAGCUGAGGUGGUGUGGCUCAGGGCGCACGUUGAGGAUUUGGAGCAUGAGCACUCGGAGGCUUUAGGAAGAACGCCGAGGAGAGGCGCGGUGAGUUUCUUGCUGACUUCCCUUGGCUGGGUGGGUAGGUCGAUGUUGAUUUUAAUGAUGUUGCCGUUUGCAGAGCCAGUGAAGAUCAAUAACCAGAUGGCCCAGGACCUCAAGGCCACGGUGUCGGCCAACGAGGAGCUGCAUCGACUCCGGGAGGGGGCAGAGGGCUGGGAGGCCAGCGCGGUGCGGAAGUUCCAGCUGGAGAAGGAGGG